Non-coding RNA from Equus caballus (horse), 2947 nucleotides. NCBI's taxonomy places the organism in Eukaryota, Metazoa, Chordata, Mammalia, Perissodactyla, Equidae. The record is from RefSeq and is a predicted model, not a curated record.
CAUUGCCAAACUGUUGGGAGGCCUCCAGUAGGCUGAAGGUAGAAAGUGAGGAGGCACUAACGCCUGCUGAGAGCUGGAUUGGUCUGUGUUUCCCUUCCCAUAUGAUGUGCAUUUCAAGAGGCUCCAAAGAGGAGAAAUUGCAACACCGGGAAGGUUAUUAGAUUCCUGCAAGUUAUUUGGGAACUGAUCAAGAUUUCAAGCUAAAGAUGGAGAUAAUGAAUUGUCUGAGGGCCGUUCUUCAAGCCUCUCCAUGCAAGUCACCGUGGAGAAGAUUCCAGAUUCCGAGGUCCAUGCCAGUGAGGCCCUGCAGCCUCUACACCUGCACUUACAGAACCCGGAACCGAGCCUUGCACCCACUCUGGGAGAGCGUGGACCUGGUCCCGGCGGGCGAGCGCCAGUCGCCCAUCAACAUCCGGUGGAGGGACAGCGUGUAUGAUCCUGGCUUAAAACCGCUCACCAUCUCUUAUGACCCGGCCACCUGCCUCCACAUCUGGAAUAACGGGUACUCUUUCCUCGUGGAAUUUGAAGAUUCUACAGAUAAAUCAGCUGCAUGUGGUGCAUCAGAACGCAAUCAAAUUUGAAAGCUUUGAGGAUGCGGCAACUGGAGGAACAUGGUUAUUAUACGAAUAUUUUUGAAGAUGAAGAAAGUGAAGCUCAGCGGAGGUGAAGUGCUUUCUUGCCAGGUCACACCGCUAGCAACUGAAGAAGUGGACUGAAAAUCUGUGGACUGUACUCUGUGCAGGACCUCUGAGCUCUUGCAGGUUUAGCAGGUUCAGGCCUCCCACAAGCUCCCUGCUUUAGUCCCGUCUGGAGGCUGAGUGUUUUCAGGGUACCUAGGAUUUGUUUUAAUCAGGUAUAGCAACACACAGACAUGGAAAUGACUGUUGUGAAGGAAGGAUUUUAUUAUACUCACAGAUUCCUAAAAACAGGUGGCAUGAAACACCAUGCAGGGUCACAUGGGGAAGCACCAGGCAUGGUCAGGAGGCAGAUAGAGCGAGGGGAAGAUGUGAACAAGAGCCUUUAUUAUGGCUUCCAUGGAAGGAAUGGGUGAGGCAGCAUAAGCAAGCUUAGGAUUGCUUGGUUUGGAUAAUUUCAGCAGGCUCUGGGACACAGAGGCUGCCCCUCGUCUGGUGCCUGAUUCUGGGAUAAUUAGGGCAGAGGAAUAGUGGCCCAGAGGGUGAGAAUCUUAUAAAGGAGGAGUUGGGGUCUGGGGUCUGGAUUGGUUGGUUUGCGUAUUAAAGACGUCCUCCCAGUUUGUUCUGUAUAGGAAUUAGCUAGCUCGGGGAGGGGCACUUCCUCUAGGGUCAGCAAGGCCUCAGAUAUCAAAGCAUGAAAUACAGAAACCAGAAAAUGUGGCUAUUAUGCUGAAGCUCCAGAAAUGAGCCCUUGAGGACUCAGGGGCCUGAGCUAAAAGCUGUGCCUUCCCACACUCUGGCUGGCUCUGAGAGCUUCAGCCUCGAGAGCCCCUGUGGGCCAAGUGCCGGUAAGGCUCAGAGGGAGAGGCUGAUGGCACAGGGGACACCUUUCCCUCCAGACUGUGGGCUCCAGCUUGUCAGCAAACGGCCUACUCAUUUGUUUUGUAUCUACUUUCAUUCAGUGAUGUUUAUAACAUUCUAAAUUGUCAGCUUAAGUGCAGGUUCAGUACUGUGGAUUAUUUUUAGGUAGUCACCAGGUAUCUGAUUUUAAUUCACAUUCCAUUACAAUUCUAGAGUGAGAUGUCAAUUGUUUUUAAUAUUUUCUCAUUUAUUGUUCUUUAGCUACACAAACAUCAUAAAAAGCUACAGAAAUUGGUGGAUACUGUGCCAUCAAUUAAGCAUAAGGAUGCCCUUGUGGAAUCUGGGUCCUUUGAUCCUUCCUGCCUGAUGCCCACUUGCCCAGAUGGACCUACUCAGGGGCCCUGACUACCCCACCACUUGCCGAGUCCAUCACCUGGAUUAUUAAGAAGUAACCUGUAGAGGUUGAUCAUGAUCAGGUACAGUCUUUCUACAUUUCUAUGUAAGGAAAUUCUAGUCUGCCUCUUUAAAACAAGGUUGGGCUCAAACUUUGGCAUCAGUUUUUAACAUCUUGUAGCGCUUAUACGUUUUCAUUAAAGUGUGCUAACAUCUUGUCUCAGUUUGGACAUGAAUUUGGUGAUACUUCAAGUUAACCAGAGAGAGGAGUUAAAACUAGAAAAACAUAAGCUUUUUACUUUCAUUCUUGACAAUGACGUAUAUUUUACUGUAUACGCAUUAUGUAGGAUCUCUAUAAAAAUUAAGACUCUUUUAAAUGGAAAAAUGAAGCCUGGAAAUGGAUGUAUUCAGAACCCUUUAAUUUCCUUAAGGGAGUUUUACUAUGGAAUCUUGGGGUAAAGACAGAACCAAACAACGUCCAUACAGAAAUUUUAUUCUAAGUCAGGAGUUUUGACUUGGUAUUUGUUUUUCCUUUAGAAACUAAAGUUUAAGUGGUAGUUACUACAUCAACACACAAAAUCCUCUUUAAUUUAUAACCUAACCAAACUACAAUAACUGCUUUUACUUGUUUGUAUUGGAUUUUAAUUGAUUAAAAAAUUUUUCUCAAGAACAAAAGCUUCCAAAUUCUUUUUUAUGAAGUCAAGAUAACAGUGAAACCAAAACCCACCAAAGAUUGGAUACCCCCCACAAAAAAGUAAAUAAUAGGCCAAUAUCUCUCAAAAAUUUUUAGGAAAAAAAGAAAGCUAAAUAAAAUAUUAGAAACAGAAUCCAGCAGUACAUCAGAAAUAUAUACUUUGCCCAAGUAGGGUUUUUCUAGUAAUGCAAGGAUGGUUCAGUAUUAGGAAGGAUAUAGUUAUGAUUAAUAUACUUCAUCCUAUCAGCAAGUCUAAAGGGAAAACUCAUAUUUUCAUUUCUAUAGUGUAGGGGAGGAAGACAUUUCCUCUACCCUGUCUGGGUUCAUCUGGCCGGAGAACAAAUUAAAUUCACAUGAGACAGAA